AACAUCGCGCACCUGCGGGAACCUGCGGAAGGAUCAUUACCGAGUUUACAACUCCCAAACCCCUGUGAACAUACCUAUACGUUGCCUCGGCGGAUCAGCCCGCGCCCUGUAAAACGGGACGGCCCGCCCGAGGACCCUAAACUCUGUUUUUAGUGGAACUUCUGAGUAAAACAAACAAAUAAAUCAAAACUUUUAACAAUGGAUCU
Molecule: unclassified non-coding RNA, 206 nt
Filed under: soil metagenome
Description: partial contains 5.8S ribosomal RNA, internal transcribed spacer 2, and large subunit ribosomal RNA
Source: RNAcentral